GGGUGAGUCUGAUUUAGGGGCUUAUAACCCUUUGAAAUUCCUUGAGUGAUCUGCUCCCACCUACCACAAGUGGUCAUGUAACAAGCAUAAAGGUGUUUUUCCUACCUUUUGAAACUUGGAAUUUAAUUUGUUGUUUUAGAGGGAAAUUGGUGUUUUAUUGUUUAUCAUCGCUUGUUUAACAAUGUUAUCAUAAGAUAAUUAAUAAUGAAUCACCCUACACUUGUUUACACUUUUCUUACGGAUUUAAAAUGAGUAAAAAGAGCUGCUGAUAAUGCACAAGGGAAAAUAGAAUUUAAUACGUUACUUUUGCAUACAGAAUAACUUUAUGAAGCUGAUUAUACACAGUGGACCAGAGUCAUGAAUGGAAAUCCAAGCCUUGCUGAAAUCUCUGGGCUCACCUCAAGCACAGAGCGGACCCUGAAUACAGGUACAAGAGGAGGUGAGGCAGCAAUCCCGAUGGCCAUGGCAGCAGCACUCCCUUAUUGGCAGCAUGUUGGCAAAAUGGGCUGUGCAGCAAUUUCCUACUUCAGCAAGGCUGGGUUUAAGUUGGUCUUUGUGGUCUCUGCACUUUCUUUCUCCGCAUACAGAAUUACAAACAGGCAGAUUAUUUUUAAUGAAGUUUGGAUACCAUUUCAGCUUCAGGCUGAAGCGUUUCACACACUGCUUAAACCUUUAGCACUUCAAAGGGGACGAAUAUUGUCUCUGUCAAGGUGCACAGCAGCCAAAUGCACACUGUGCCUUAAUGCUGUUAAUGACAGUGCUUCAGCAAUGCUCCCGGCAGUCUGGGUCCCUGCUGUACACCGCACAGCUUUUCCUUUCACCAGCUUAGGGUUCAGCUUUCACACCUCCCUCUGCUUUAUGCCUGCCUUUUGUUUUGCAGUUUACAUUUCUCUGGGCACGCAGCGCAGCAGCCUCCUUAACGCAGGCACUCAGUGGGUUUGUGCACGUUCGGGGCUGCCUGCCAGGAGCUCCGAGCAGCACCAAACCUUUCUGCACGCCCAGGGCUAGCAGCAGGGAAGGAUCAAUCCUUUGGGGUCUCCAUGUCCUGAAGCCGUGCCACCCGCACAGCCAUGCCUUUGUUCCAUGUGCAACGAUAACAGCGUCUGUUCUGUGAUGAUCGCGCUCCGCAGCCUUAUCUUUAGUGCUCCGGCAUCUGUUUGCCCUACAUAAUGGGUGAAUCCUCUCUACUUUCACCUAUUUUCCCAGAAAUCACGACCGUCAGACGCAGUGAGUUCGCAUUACACAAAACCGCACGCUGCCAGGGAAACAUGAGGAGUCGUCCUUUAAAAAUAAUUUUUAAUGCCGCAUGACUCACAUAACCGUCCUUAAUCACCAGAAAAGCGCAAAUGGCCACCGAGUCCCUCGGAGUUAUUUCGAGCACGCCAGACACGCGG
RNAcentral lists this long non-coding RNA (1394 nucleotides) under Chrysolophus pictus (golden pheasant). Its description in RNAcentral is "lncRNA (ENSCPIG00010004985.1)". Lineage: Eukaryota; Metazoa; Chordata; Aves; Galliformes; Phasianidae. The record is from RNAcentral.